Molecule: ribosomal RNA, 434 nt
Filed under: uncultured bacterium
Lineage: Bacteria
Description: partial 16S ribosomal RNA
Rfam family: Bacterial small subunit ribosomal RNA
Source: RNAcentral
AGCGAACGCUGGCGGCAGGCUUAACACAUGCAAGUCGAGCGGGCAUCCUUGUGGUGUCAGCGGCAGACGGGUGAGUAACGCGUGGGAACGUGCCCUUCGGUUCGGAAUAACUCAGGGAAACUUGAGCUAAUACCGGAUACGCCCUUUUGGGGAAAGGUUUACUGCCGAAGGAUCGGCCCGCGUCUGAUUAGCUAGUUGGUGAGGUUAUGGCUCACCAAGGCGACGAUCAGUAGCUGGUCUGAGAGGAUGAUCAGCCACACUGGGACUGAGACACGGCCCAGACUCCUACGGGAGGCAGCAGUGGGGAAUAUUGGACAAUGGGGGCAACCCUGAUCCAGCCAUGCCGCGUGAGUGAUGACGGCCUUAGGGUUAAAGCUCUUUUCUCCGGGACGAUAAUGACGGUACCGGAGGAAUAAGCCCCGGCUAACUUCGUG